UACGGAGGAUGCGAGCGUUAUCCGGAUUUAUUGGGUUUAAAGGGUGCGUAGGCGGGAUGCCAAGUCAGCGGUAAAAAUGCGGUGCUCAACGCCGUCGAGCCGUUGAAACUAGCGUUCUUGAGUGAGCGAGAAGUAUGCGGAAUGCGUGGUGUAGCGGUGAAAUGCGUAGAUAUAUGGAGGAACACCGGUGGCGAAAGCGGCUCUCUGGCCUGUAACUGACACUGAGGCUCGAAAGCGUGGGGAGCAAACAGG
This 252-nucleotide ribosomal RNA is filed under the name uncultured bacterium. RNAcentral's name for it is "partial 16S ribosomal RNA". It matches the Rfam family "Bacterial small subunit ribosomal RNA", at positions 524 to 776 of the family's 1533-position model. The record is from RNAcentral.